AGGACGAACGCUGGCGGCGUGCUUAACACAUGCAAGUCGAGCGGAAAGGCCCUUCGGGGUACUCGAGCGGCGAACGGGUGAGUAACACGUGGGCAACCUGCCCCUAGCUCUGGGAUAACUCCGGGAAACCGGUGCUAAAUACCGGAUAUGACCUCAUUUAGGCAUCCUUUGAGGUGGAAAAGAUUUAUUGGCUAGGGAUGGGCCCGCGGCCUAUCAGCUUGUUGGUGGGGUAAUGGCCUACCAAAGGCGAACGACGGGUA
This 260-nucleotide ribosomal RNA is filed under the name uncultured bacterium. Its description in RNAcentral is "partial small subunit ribosomal RNA". It matches the Rfam family "Bacterial small subunit ribosomal RNA", at positions 26 to 285 of the family's 1533-position model. The record is from RNAcentral.